CCUGGGAAAAUCCAGAGGAAAUUGCAAGUGUGCAAGGCCUGGUUCCUUCCCAAAAAACCCCCUGGAUUGAGGCAAAGCUUCAUCUUCCAUGGCACAGACCAGGAAGGUUUCCAGGUGCCUUCAGAGCUUGGGGUUUUGUAUUUCAUUCUCUCUUUCCUCUCAUCCCAGAGAAACGAGGGGAAGGGGACGAGGAUGGAUCCGUGUUCGCAGCAGGAUUUGUGGACAGCUGAUAUCCUCAAGAUUCCCUUUUCCCACUACAAGGGAAACGAAUGGAUCUGGAAGAAGUUACUGGGUGUUGGCAGGAGUGGGAAGAGAUUUCAGGUCCAGCAGGAAUGCAGACACACAUCAAGGAAGAAAAGGUUCAUGAGCCUACAAAGCAAGGAAUGGGCUCGAGCUUAAAAUUUCUGGGAGACAAAGACUGAGGGAAGAGGAGAUUCAAUUUCCAGCUUGGCAUCAGGAGAACACAGAGGAGACCAGGAAACGUGUGAUGGAAACGGGAAAAGCAACGUUCCAGCCAUGGAAA
Corvus hawaiiensis (hawaiian crow) is the source of this 523-nucleotide long non-coding RNA. RefSeq lists it as uncharacterized. NCBI's taxonomy places the organism in Eukaryota, Metazoa, Chordata, Aves, Passeriformes, Corvidae. The record is from RefSeq and is a predicted model, not a curated record. The transcript has 4 exons.